Molecule: ribosomal RNA, 506 nt
Filed under: uncultured bacterium
Lineage: Bacteria
Description: partial 16S ribosomal RNA
Rfam family: Bacterial small subunit ribosomal RNA
Source: RNAcentral
AUUGAACGCUGGCGGCAGGCCUAACACAUGCAAGUCGAACGGCAGCGGGGGAUAGCUUGCUAUCCUGCCGGCGAGUGGCGGACGGGUGAGUAAUGCAUGGGGAGCUGCCCAGUCGAGGGGGAUAACAACUGGAAACGGUUGCUAAUACCGCAUACGCCCUAAGGGGGAAAGGUGGGGAACUUCGGUCCUACCGCGAUUGGAUGCGCCCAUGUGGGAUUAGGUAGUUGGUGAGGUAACGGCUCACCAAGGCGACGAUCUCUAGCUGGUCUGAGAGGAUGACCAGCCACACUGGAACUGAGACACGGUCCAGACUCCUACGGGAGGCAGCAGUGGGGAAUAUUGCACAAUGGGGGAAACCCUGAUGCAGCCAUGCCGCGUGUGUGAAGAAGGCCUUCGGGUUGUAAAGCACUUUCAGUCAGGAGGAAGGGGUGAUGGCUAAUAUCCAUCAUCAUUGACGUUACUGACAGAAGAAGCACCGGCUAACUCCGUGCCAGCAGCCGCAGUAA